Molecule: ribosomal RNA, 253 nt
Filed under: uncultured bacterium
Lineage: Bacteria
Description: partial 16S ribosomal RNA
Rfam family: Bacterial small subunit ribosomal RNA
Source: RNAcentral
UACGGAGGGUGCAAGCGUUAUCCGGAUUUACUGGGUUUAAAGGGUGCGCAGGCGGAUAUGUAAGUCAGUGGUGAAAUCUCUAGGCUUAACCUGGAAAUUGCCGUUGAUACUAUAUAUCUUGAAUGUUGUGGAGGUAAGCAGAAUAUGUCAUGUAGCGGUGGAAUGCUUAGAGAUGACAUAGAAUACCUAUUGCGAAGGCAGCUUACUACGCAGAUAUUGACGCUCAUGCACGAAAGCGUGGGGAUCAAACAGG